GCAGGGACACCUUUCAAGGUUAUUCCUCAAGCUUCAGAAAUCCCUUUCCACAACAGAUUUGUGCAGCACACAUGAUGGCAGAUGGAAAUGCAGUAUUCAUGUUUGAGAUUUGUUGUCUGCCCCCAUCGGAAUGGACCUUACGUUGGUGAAAAAACUGUUACAACACGAUGAUCUGUAUCACCUACUGAAACGCAUCCGAGACAAAGGACAAAGAACCCUCAUCACUGUUCAUCGUGAUACAGAAGAAAUAUGUCGUGUUCAGGAAAGAGUGAAAAGGGAUGGAGAACACCAUUGGUGGGAAACUCUUCUUGGACAGUCACCAACAGCAAUGGGAAUUUUUAAUCUCAUGUUUCAUCCAAUUGUGAUUUUUAUUAGCUCUACUGUUAUUAGGUCUAUUACUUAUAAUUGUAUUGUAUAUACAGAUUUGGUACAUGAUGAAACAAAUAACCCAAACGCAGAUACCCCAAAUGUAUAAAUUAGUACAUAGUAGCAAUACUUUAUGCUAAAAUGUUUACUUACCAUGGACCUGUGAGUGCAAAAACUAUAAAUACACUGUUUAUGGCACAGAGGCAAGAGGUGACCGUACCACCACUCUGUGAUGAUAAGAUGAAUUGACUA
This is a long non-coding RNA of Nothoprocta perdicaria, 618 nucleotides long. RefSeq lists it as uncharacterized. Lineage: Eukaryota; Metazoa; Chordata; Aves; Tinamiformes; Tinamidae. The transcript is spliced from 2 exons. The record is from RefSeq and is a predicted model, not a curated record.